AUACGUAGGGGGCGAGCGUUAUCCGGAUUCAUUGGGCGUAAAGCGCGCGUAGGCGGCCUGCUAGGUCGGGACUCAAAUCCGGGGGCUCAACCCCCGCCCGGUCCCGAUACCGACAGGCUUGAGUCUGGUAGGGGAAGGCGGAAUUCCAAGUGUAGCGGUGGAAUGCGCAGAUAUUUGGAAGAACACCGGUGGCGAAGGCGGCCUUCUGGGCCACGACUGACGCUGAGGCGCGAAAGCUAGGGGAGC
RNAcentral lists this ribosomal RNA (246 nucleotides) under uncultured bacterium. RNAcentral describes it as "partial 16S ribosomal RNA". It matches the Rfam family "Bacterial small subunit ribosomal RNA", at positions 523 to 769 of the family's 1533-position model. The record is from RNAcentral.